Molecule: long non-coding RNA, 3371 nt
Filed under: Citrus maxima (pomelo)
Lineage: Eukaryota; Viridiplantae; Streptophyta; Magnoliopsida; Sapindales; Rutaceae
Description: long non-coding RNA (CMAX_LNC001702)
Source: RNAcentral
AAAUAUUAAUCUUAAUUAUUAUAUAGGCAUUGUGUUGGAUGGGUGUUUAUGGUGGUGAAUGAAAUAAAUAUCUUCUCUUGUAACUUGUUUUAAAUGAUAAUAUGAAAUAUAAUUAUUAUUUUUAGAUACUAGUUUAUGUUUUUUAAAUGAAUUUGUGUAAUUUAUACUUAAAUUUGAGAAUUUGUGUUGAAUUGAUGUGUAAAUUUUAAUUUUUCAUUUACAUUGUUUAAAUAUAAAAUUGAGUAUGUUAUAUGAAAUUUGAGAUUAUUAUUAUAAAUUUAUAUAUUAAACAUUUGUGAUUUUAAAUACGAAAACCCGCAAAAAAUCCACCGAAUACCAUUACGGGUUUGGUAAUUGUUAAAACCCGUUGCGGGUGGGUUUUUAUAAAAAAAUUAAAAUUCAUUAUGGGUUGCAGAUGAAUUUGGUAACUUAAAUUUUAUGCGAAUUUAAGUUUGGUAAAGACAAACCCACUGCGAGCGGUACCUAUUGCCAUCCCUAUGCCUGCCAAUGAACACACAGUCGCACACGCAAAAACGGAAAGUUCUGGAAACCCACAAAAUUCACGAUCAUUUCAUACUGUCCACAUGUCCACAUCCGAUUAUUCAAAUUCAAAAUUCGAAAAUUAAAAAAGCCCGUGCCCUUGCACGUCUCCACGCGUCCUCCUCCUAAUGGUCGAACCACCGCAUCCCACGUGGGCUGUCUGUGGGCGCUUAUAAAAAUCUUUGUAGCGGGAUCAACUGCACCAUUACUGAUCCCUAAUUAUCAAUCCCACCAUUAAACAUUCGCCUCUUCAAUGAACUCAUCAUACACAAAGUUCCACCGACCCCCACUCUCACGUAAAUUAAUAAAUUAUUAACACGCGUCAACGAAUCGUCCGACCCACGUUAAAAGUUCUCGAGAAUUUACAAAAUAAUCACACCAAGAUUUCGUUCAAUUUAUAUAAAAUUUUCUCAUUUAUUGCAGCUACAAAAAGGCAUUUUUUGAACAAUAAUUUUUGUUAAUAACAUAACACGACUGAAAUCAAAAAUUUCCUCCACCAAAUUUGAGUGCAAAUGGAUCUCCAAACUUAGCAGUAAGAGAUUUUUAUCAAUUAAAUUAUUCAAUCCUUAAAUAAUACAAUGUUCUUAUUAUAUGUCCUAUCAAUUAAAGUAGAUAGUUAUCAAGUUUAUCACAGACUGCGAUAUUAUAAUUCGCUGCUGUUUCCGUAAUUUUACUUUGCUCAAAUUUUUCCCAAUCCCAAAGAAUCAAUUAUUUCCUCGGCGUAAGUCACACUCGUGAACCGACACGACGUCGCUUCGCCGUUCGAUACCCUAAACGGUCGCGUGAAAUUAUAAUUAACUGGGACCCACAAAUAAACAUAGCUGUCAAUAAACCAAUAGACAGACUGGAAAAAUCCGGGCCGCUGCCCAAUCAAUUGCCACGCUGCCCGAAAUUCACUCUUCCCGUCCACACUUUUCAGUCUAUAAAUAAACCUCACUAUUUUCCUUUCAUGUCUUAAAUAUUAACACUUCCCACAUACAGACAAGAGGAAAAAGAAACUCUCUCAGCUUCCUUCGGUUACGCUCUCAAAAACCCUGAGAAAAAAGGCUUCAAUAAUGGCAUUCUCAAAGGCUUCAAUGGCUACGCUGAUGAUGGCCGUUGUCCUGGCCGCCUUGGCUCUCGCAGGGUCGGCUCAAGAUCUCUCUCCCGCUCCAGCUCCCGCUUCCGGAGCCGGCUCGAUCUCGCCUUCCUUCGCCGCCGCUGGUGUCGCUCUCCUUUCCGCUCUGGUGUUCGGCUCAGUUCUCAGGGUUUAAGAGGCCGGUUCUCUAUCUGAUUACGUGUCACUAGCUUAUUGGGCGUGUAGAGUGGUUUCUUCAUAUUUUUUUCUUCUUUUUUUGCGUUGUUUAGACGUUAUGUGGGCUCAGUAGCGGCGGAUCCACUGGGUUUUAGUCUUUUAGGGAGUGAGUCUUAUUACAUAUAAAUUUUAUAAUGAGAGAGAGUUAUCAGUUAUGCUUUGUAGCUCACGGAGAUGUGAUGAUAUGAUUUGAUUUAUGUUUGUUAUUUUGGAGACUUAUGAUUAUUAUCAGUAUAUAUUAAGCUAUUCCUUUUGUUGUUAUGUUAUAGAUCCUUCACUAUCCGCUUUUCUUUUAAUUUUUUACGUAAAAUCAAUUUAAUUUUAUUUCACUCGAAUCGCGUUCGCCGGACGACAGAAGAGGAAAUGCAUUUCCCACAAGAAUCGAAGAAAAGUAAAAGUAAUGCACUUGCAAACAGUAAUUCGUAUUUUCCCUAAACAAAAAAGUCCCAAGUGGCAAGGCAUAGCUGACACGUGUACUCAUUGGCUUCUGCACUCCCAUUCCCAUGUGCAAUUGUGCAAAAGGACAAAUGAGUGAGAGAAUUGGAGGAGAAGGGGAAUCUGUGCCCUUCACAUGAUCAACGGGAACACAUUUUUUUUUUUUUUUUGGCCUUUUUAAAUUAUUCCAAGUCUAAGUCAUCGGGUCUGUGGCACCUUCGUGAAAACAGAAAACAACAGGGGGAUCAAAUGUGCAAUGAUUCAAUUUGUUGGUUUAUAGGGGUAUAUCAUUACACUUGGCGAUGCCUUGGAAGAAGUCGCCAGGAUGAUGAUUUUUUAAAAGUUUAUGUUGUACAAGGCAGUCUUUGCGAAAUUGGCUCAUUCGGCCCAACUAUCCUUUUGUAAUCAAUGGCUAAGCGUGAUUUGGAACGUAUUUAUUUGACCGGUGAGCUGAGGUUAUUCUCCCUUUUCAUUCGCCCCCACCCAACCCCCCCACCUGGAGUUCACCAACAUUUGCUUAGCUUGUACGAAUAUUAUAGUUGGUUUGUGGACCCUACCACGUAAUUGUUGAUUCGCGUUUGCUUUGCCCUACAUAAUUAUACUAAAUCAAUAAUUCUAGAAAUAUAAACUCUUUAACAAGCAUUACUUAGUGCCUGUUUGGUAUGGCUUAUUUAAGAGCCAUAAGUGCUUAUUUAAUCGUAUAAGCGCUUUUUAAAAUUUUUUAUGGUGUUUGGUUAUUUUUUUAGUAGAGUUUUUUUAGCUUAAAUAAGUGAAUUUACCUCUACUAACAAAAGCCCAAAAUUUGAGCUUUUGGGAGUAGAGGUUAUAGAGCUUUUCUAAAAAUAUCUAAUAUAAAAAAUAUCACACAAUUUAAUGGUUCAAAAGUACUUUUUUUAUUGACAACCAAACACCCAAUGACUUUUUGUCCAAAAGCUCUAUUGGUAUAAGCUCUAGUGCUAUAAGCUCUACUGUUAUAAGCUCUAUUUAAUAAGCUGUACCAAACGGAGCCUUAUUCCAUUAAUGCAGUUUGAGAUGACAUUUUAUAUUAGGUUAUUGUUAUGUUGGAAUUCACAUACGGUAAAGUAUGAAUUUUAAUCACACG